GUCCACGCCCUAAACGAUGUCAACUAGGUGUUGGGUGGGUAAAACCAUUUAGUACCGAAGCUAACGCAUGAAGUUGACCGCCUGGGGAGUACGGCCGCAAGGUUAAAACUCAAAGGAAUUGACGGGGACCCGCACAAGCGGUGGAUGAUGUGGAUUAAUUCGACGCAACGCGAAAACCUUACCUACCCUUGACAUGUCAGGAACUUUCCAGAGAUGGAUUGGUGCCCGAAAGGGAGCCUGAACACAGGUGCUGCAUGGCUGUCGU
Molecule: ribosomal RNA, 265 nt
Filed under: uncultured bacterium
Lineage: Bacteria
Description: partial 16S ribosomal RNA
Rfam family: Bacterial small subunit ribosomal RNA
Source: RNAcentral